RNAcentral lists this ribosomal RNA (497 nucleotides) under uncultured bacterium. Its description in RNAcentral is "partial 16S ribosomal RNA". It matches the Rfam family "Bacterial small subunit ribosomal RNA", at positions 28 to 507 of the family's 1533-position model. The record is from RNAcentral.
GAUGAACGCUGGCGGCGUGCCUAAUACAUGCAAGUCGAGCGAACGGACGAGAAGCUUGCUUCUCUGAUGUUAGCGGCGGACGGGUGAGUAACACGUGGAUAACCUACCUAUAAGACUGGGAUAACUUCGGGAAACCGUAGCUAAUACCGGAUAAUAUUUUGAACCGCAUGGUUCAAAAGUGAAAGACGGUUUUGCUGUCACUUAUAGAUGGAUCCGCGCCGCAUUAGCUAGUUGGUAAGGUAACGGCUUACCAAGGCAACGAUGCAUAGCCGACCUGAGAGGGUGAUCGGCCACACUGGAACUGAGACACGGUCCAGACUCCUACGGGAGGCAGCAGUAGGGAAUCUUCCGCAAUGGGCGAAAGCCUGACGGAGCAACGCCGCGUGAGUGAUGAAGGUCUUCGGAUCGUAAAACUCUGUUAUUAGGGAAGAACAAAUGUGUAAGUAACUAUGCACGUCUUGACGGUACCUAAUCAGAAAGCCACGGCUAACUACGUG